RNAcentral lists this long non-coding RNA (378 nucleotides) under Carica papaya (papaya). Its description in RNAcentral is "long non-coding RNA (CPAP_LNC012735)". The record is from RNAcentral. Lineage: Eukaryota; Viridiplantae; Streptophyta; Magnoliopsida; Brassicales; Caricaceae.
CCACAGGGGAAAUCAGCAUGGAAAAACGAGUCGGGGGUAUGAAAUUUACCUCGAUCAGCAGUCGAAAAUCUCCCCGGUGCGGCGGCGGGUGGCGGCGGCCGGCGUCUCCGGCGUCUGGUUCGUCUUCUCCGGCGAGGGCAGGCGGCAAGGGUUUUUGUGGUCUGGUGUGGGGGUUCUAUUUAUACCCUUUUGCCUUUUGAUCUCAGCCGUCCAUUUUGUUUUAAUCUGGGCCGUUCUUUUUUUGAUUAAAUCUGGGCCGCCCGUACGCACGCUUGAUCUGGGCCGUCCGAUCGUGCGUACGCGGAUCGCCAACGUGGCCCGUCCCCGGUUGACGUGGUUUUGCCACGUGGCAGGUCCUGGUUGGCCGGGACUGCUGAC